This 491-nucleotide ribosomal RNA is filed under the name uncultured bacterium. RNAcentral's name for it is "partial 16S ribosomal RNA". It matches the Rfam family "Bacterial small subunit ribosomal RNA", at positions 29 to 506 of the family's 1533-position model. The record is from RNAcentral.
AGUGAACGCUGGCGGUAGGCCUAACACAUGCAAGUCGAACGGCAGCACAGUAAGAGCUUGCUCUUACGGGUGGCGAGUGGCGGACGGGUGAGGAAUACAUCGGAAUCUACUUUUUCGUGGGGGAUAACGUAGGGAAACUUACGCUAAUACCGCAUACGACCUACGGGUGAAAGCAGGGGAUCUUCGGACCUUGCGCGAUUGAAUGAGCCGAUGUCGGAUUAGCUAGUUGGCGGGGUAAAGGCCCACCAAGGCGACGACCCGUAGCUGGUCUGAGAGGAUGUCCGCCCAACCGGGAACUAGGCACGGAUCCAGACCCCUACGGGGGGCCGAUGGGGGGAUUUUUGGAAAAGGGGCGCAAGCCUGCUCCAGCCAUCCCGCGGGGGUGAAGAAGGCCUUCGGGUUGUAAAGCCCUUUUGUUGGGAAAGAAAAGCAGCAGGUUAAUCCCCCGCUGUUCUGACGGUACCCAAAAAAUAAGCACCGGCUAACUUCGU